Molecule: ribosomal RNA, 492 nt
Filed under: uncultured bacterium
Lineage: Bacteria
Description: partial 16S ribosomal RNA
Rfam family: Bacterial small subunit ribosomal RNA
Source: RNAcentral
AUUGAACGCUGGCGGCAUGCUUUACACAUGCAAGUCGAACGGUAACAGGCCUUCGGGUGCUGACGAGUGGCGAACGGGUGAGUAAUGCAUCGGAACGUACCCAGAGGUGGGGGAUAACGCAGCGAAAGCUGUGCUAAUACCUCAUGUGAUCUGAGGAUGAAAGCGGGGGACCGAGCAGCAAUGUUUGGCCUCGCGCCUUUGGAGCGGCCGAUGUCGGAUUAGCUAGUUGGUGGGGUAAAGGCCUACCAAGGCGACGAUCCGUAGCUGAUCUGAGAGGACGACCAGCCACACUGGGACUGAGACACGGCCCAGACUCCUACGGGAGGCAGCAGUGGGGAAUUUUGGACAAUGGGCGCAGGCCUGAUCCAGCAAUGCCGCGUGCGGGAAGAAGGCCUUCGGGUUGUAAACCGCUUUUGGCAGGAACGAAACGGUGUCCGCUAAUACCGGGCGCUAAUGACGGUACCUGCAGAAUAAGCACCGGCUAACUACGUG